RNAcentral lists this ribosomal RNA (253 nucleotides) under uncultured bacterium. RNAcentral describes it as "partial 16S ribosomal RNA". It matches the Rfam family "Bacterial small subunit ribosomal RNA", at positions 524 to 776 of the family's 1533-position model. The record is from RNAcentral.
UACGAAGGGGGCUAGCGUUGCUCGGAAUGACUGGGCGUAAAGGGCGCGUAGGCGGCUUGCACCGUCAGAUGUGAAAUUCCUGGGCUUAACCUGGGGGCUGCAUUUGAUACGUGUGGGCUUGAGUGCGGAAGAGGGUCGUGGAAUUCCCAGUGUAGAGGUGAAAUUCGUAGAUAUUGGGAAGAACACCGGUGGCGAAGGCGGCGACCUGGUCCGUGACUGACGCUGAGGCGCGAAAGCCAGGGGAGCAAACGGG